RNAcentral lists this ribosomal RNA (497 nucleotides) under uncultured bacterium. RNAcentral describes it as "partial 16S ribosomal RNA". It matches the Rfam family "Bacterial small subunit ribosomal RNA", at positions 28 to 507 of the family's 1533-position model. The record is from RNAcentral.
GACGAACGCUGGCGGCGUGCCUAAUACAUGCAAGUAGAACGCUGAAGCUUGGUGCUUGCACCGAGCGGAUGAGUUGCGAACGGGUGAGUAACGCGUAGGUAACCUGCCUGGUAGCGGGGGAUAACUAUUGGAAACGAUAGCUAAUACCGCAUAAGAGUAGAUGUUGCAUGACAUUUGCUUAAAAGGUGCAAUUGCAUCACUACCAGAUGGACCUGCGUUGUAUUAGCUAGUUGGUGAGGUAACGGCUCACCAAGGCAACGAUACAUAGCCGACCUGAGAGGGUGAUCGGCCACACUGGGACUGAGACACGGCCCAGACUCCUACGGGAGGCAGCAGUAGGGAAUCUUCGGCAAUGGACGGAGGUCUGACCGAGCAACGCCGCGUGAGUGAAGAAGGUUUUCGGAUCGUAAAGCUCUGUUGUAAGAGAAGAACGAGUGUGAGAGUGGAAAGUUCACACUGUGACGGUAUCUUACCAGAAAGGGACGGCUAACUACGUG